ACAGUGUUCUGCAAUAGUUGGAGCAGAUAACUUUCAGUGUAGCCACAGCCAUGGACUCCAGAUUUCCAGAUUUUCAAGACCUGGACCUGGAACCCGAAAGAGCUUGUCACGAUGCGGCAGGAACACUGGAGUCCUGUGCCUCCUGAUUGCUGAGUGUUCACCUGGACCUUCUGACUACCUUCCCUGUGCUAUUCCAUCAGCCUACAGACCUGGUACCUGGAUUUUUGCCCGAGAUGAUUCCUACCACCUUACUACUGACGAAGACACCCAUUCCAGUGGACCACUGUGACCCAGGAGGCAUUCAGCCAUCAUGAUGUGGCCUUUACCUCCACUCCUGUCUUGUUCUACCCAGAUUCAGCACAGCCCUUUAUAGUGAAGUCAGAGUC
This 386-nucleotide long non-coding RNA is filed under the name Homo sapiens (human). RNAcentral describes it as "non-protein coding TUG1:28". The stretch from base 134 to 370 matches the Rfam family "Taurine upregulated gene 1 conserved region 3". Rfam says of the family: TUG1 (taurine upregulated gene 1) is a long non-coding RNA expressed in retina and brain. It was first identified in a screen for genes upregulated by in developing retinal cells in response to taurine. Lineage: Eukaryota; Metazoa; Chordata; Mammalia; Primates; Hominidae. The record is from RNAcentral.